This 473-nucleotide ribosomal RNA is filed under the name uncultured organism. Its description in RNAcentral is "partial 16S ribosomal RNA". It matches the Rfam family "Bacterial small subunit ribosomal RNA", at positions 333 to 797 of the family's 1533-position model. The record is from RNAcentral.
ACACUCCUACGGGAGGCAGCAGUGGGGAAUAUUGCACAAUGGGCGCAAGCCUGAUGCAGCCAUGCCGCGUGUGUGAAGAAGGCCUUCGGGUUGUAAAGCACUUUCAGCGGGGAGGAAGGCAAUGCGGUUAAUAACCGUGUUGAUUGACGUUACCCGCAGAAGAAGCACCGGCUAACUCCGUGCCAGCAGCCGCGGUAAUACGGAGGGUGCAAGCGUUAAUCGGAAUUACUGGGCGUAAAGCGCACGCAGGCGGUCUGUCAAGUCGGAUGUGAAAUCCCCGGGCUCAACCUGGGAACUGCAUUCGAAACUGGCAGGCUUGAGUCUUGUAGAGGGGGGUAGAAUUCCAGGUGUAGCGGUGAAAUGCGUAGAGAUCUGGAGGAAUACCGGUGGCGAAGGCGGCCCCCUGGACAAAGACUGACGCUCAGGUGCGAAAGCGUGGGGAGCAAACAGGAUUAGAUACCCCAGUAGUCCCA